RNAcentral lists this small nuclear RNA (142 nucleotides) under Nicotiana attenuata. Its description in RNAcentral is "snRNA U1". It matches the Rfam family "U1 spliceosomal RNA". Rfam says of the family: U1 is a small nuclear RNA (snRNA) component of the spliceosome (involved in pre-mRNA splicing). Its 5' end forms complementary base pairs with the 5' splice junction, thus defining the 5' donor site of an intron. Lineage: Eukaryota; Viridiplantae; Streptophyta; Magnoliopsida; Solanales; Solanaceae. The record is from Rfam by way of RNAcentral.
AUACUUACCCCGACGGGGUCAAUGGGUGAUCAUGAAGACUCAUGGCCUAGGUUGGUGACCUCUAUUGCACUUUGCAGGGGCGCCCGCCUAGGGUCGGCCCAAGUGGCAAAGCUUACGUCAUAAUUUGUGGCAGCGGGACCCA